Molecule: non-coding RNA, 1154 nt
Organism: Megalopta genalis
Lineage: Eukaryota; Metazoa; Arthropoda; Insecta; Hymenoptera; Halictidae
Source: RefSeq, a predicted model, not a curated record
UGCAACGAUAUUAGUACACCAAAGAUUUCUACGUACGAGCAGUCAUGUAUGGAAAAAUGAAGUGCGUUGGCUUUGCGCUCACGAUGCUCCUCUGGUCGGUGUUCUACGUUGUCGGCAACGAAGCGGUUCGGGUCCGCAGGAAUCCACAGCUGAUCCCGUUCCCGCGUGUCGGCUAGUCCAUGCGUCCACAGUAAUUGGAACAAUUACAAAAUAAAACGUAGGAGAAAAUAAUUGGUAACUUCUGAAGCAAUAAAUUCCGCAUAUUGAAAUCUAUAUUUUCGGCGUUUUCUCGUCGGGAUCUACGUGAACAGUCAACAAAAAGUCAAUAAAUUUUGGUUUCCUAAACCGAAGGUUUAAUCGGAAUUUGUUUAACAACGGCGCCAUUGUCAAUAUCCAAUUCCUCCGUGAUGUCCUGAAUCCAACGACCUCCAACUGGUAUAGUUAUAAUUACAUUAUAGUUACAUUAUAGAUACAUAACCAUUCCACGUCCAUUCUAACCUUGCCAAAUGUUCUGCGAACCGAGCGCACGAAUAAAAAAAAAAUUCACUGACCGCAACACGUUGCCACGUGUCGCGAUAUCUUCGAAGUGAUAUUCGCAUUUUAUACACAGAACGACAGCAUGAGUUGUCUCUACGAUUUUUAUUUUUUCUCGCGUUCUUUAUGGCUGUCCUAUCGCCGAAAGGAAAUAAUUACGUUGUGAAAUUUAGCAUUCGGAAAAAUUACUGCGGCUGAUAAAAGAAAAACAAAAAAUGCAUAAACUUUAACCGACUUCGAGCCGAGUGCUCACGAUAUAUUUAUCCAGCUUGAUAAUUCGGUCACGAACGACACGUUUCGUUUAGUAUAUAAAGCAGCGACCGGUGAAUCACGGCGUGUCCAUUCAGUCGAAUCUUCCGCAGAACAGUGUUGCAACGAUGGCAGCGAAACUAUUUGUGAUUGUUGUAUUCGCGUUGCUGGCAUCGGCGUUUAAUUUCGUGAGCAUCGAAGCCAGGCCGGAUGGAAAAUUGGAGGAUAAUUUCCUACGCUUCGGAUAACUGUGCAACGUGUGCUCGGAUACAAUCAUUGUCUAACGAACAUCCUAUCGACAUCAUAAUCGAAGGAAUUAAAAAUGUAGUUUAUAUGCUUAUAAUUUUCUAUUAAAAUUUUCUCCGAGCCUU